AUUGCCUCAGUAACGGCGAGUGAAGCGGCAACAGCUCAAAUUUGAAAUCUGGCCCCCUCGGGGGGCCCGAGUUGUAAUUUGCAGAUUGUGCUUUUGGCGAGGCGCCUUCCGAGUUCCCUGGAACGGGACGCCACAGAGGGUGAGAGCCCCGUCUGGUCGGUCGCCGAGCCUCUGUAAAGCACCUUCGACGAGUCGAGUAGUUUGGGAAUGCUGCUCAAAAUGGGAGGUAUAUGUCUUCUAAAGCUAAAUACCGGCCAGAGACCGAUAGCGCACAAGUAGAGUGAUCGAAAGAUGAAAAGCACCUUGAAAAGGGGGUUAAACAGUACGUGAAAUUGUUGAAAGGGAAGCGCUCGCGACCAGACUUGGGCCCGGCGGAUCACCCAGCGUUCUCGCUGGGGCAUUCCGCCUCGUCCCAGGCCAGCAUCGGUUCGCGCCGGGGGACAAAGGCGGCGGGAACGUGGCUCCCCCGGGAGUGUUAUAGCCCGCCGCGCAAUGCCCUGGGGCGGACCGAGGAUUCGCGCAUCUGCAUGGAUGCUGGCGUAAUGGUCACCAGCGACCCGUCUUGAAACACGGACCAAGGAGUCGUCUUCGUAUGCGAGUGUUCGGGUGUCAAACCCCUACGCGUAAUGAAAGUGAACGCAGGUGAGAGCUUCGGCGCAUCAUCGACCGAUCCUGAUGUUCUCGGAUGGAUUUGAGUAGGAGCAUACGGGGCCGGACCCGAAAGAAGGUGAACUAUGCCUGUGUAGGGUGAAGCCAGAGGAAACUCUGGUGGAGGCUCGCAGCGGUUCUGACGUGCAAAUCGAUCGUCAAACAUGGGCAUGGGGGCGAAAGACUA
Molecule: ribosomal RNA, 835 nt
Filed under: Aschersonia andropogonis
Lineage: Eukaryota; Fungi; Ascomycota; Sordariomycetes; Hypocreales; Clavicipitaceae
Description: eukaryotic LSU rRNA
Rfam family: Eukaryotic large subunit ribosomal RNA
Source: RNAcentral